Molecule: ribosomal RNA, 253 nt
Filed under: uncultured bacterium
Lineage: Bacteria
Description: partial 16S ribosomal RNA
Rfam family: Bacterial small subunit ribosomal RNA
Source: RNAcentral
UACGAAGGGGGCGAGCGUUGUUCGGAAUUACUGGGCGUAAAGGGCGCGUAGGCGGCCGAGCAAGUUAGAUGUGAAAGUCCUGGGCUUAACCUGGGGACUGCAUUUGAUACUGCUUGGCUUGAAUUCGGGAGAGGAUAGCGGAAUUCCCAGUGUAGAGGUGAAAUUCGUAGAUAUUGGGAAGAACACCGGUGGCGAAGGCGGCAUCCUGGACCGAUACUGACGCUGAGGAGCGAAAGCCAGGGGAGCAAACGGG